AGAUUGAACGCUGGCGGCAGGCCUAACACAUGCAAGUCGUGCGGUAGAGAGGUGCUUGCACCUCUUGAGAGCGGCGGACGGGUGAGUAAUGCCUAGGAAUCUGCCUAGUGGUGGGGGAUAACGUUCGGAAACGGACGCUAAUACCGCAUACGUCCUACGGGAGAAAGCGGGGGACCUUCGGGCCUCGCGCCAUUAGAUGAGCCUAGGUCGGAUUAGCUAGUUGGUGAGGUAAUGGCUCACCAAGGCGACGAUCCGUAACUGGUCUGAGAGGAUGAUCAGUCACACUGGAACUGAGACACGGUCCAGACUCCUACGGGAGGCAGCAGUGGGGAAUAUUGGACAAUGGGCGAAAGCCUGAUCCAGCAAUGCCGCGUGAGUGAUGAAGGCCUUAGGUUGUAAAGCUCUUUUACCCGGGAUGAUAAUGACAGUACCGGAGAAUAAGCUCCGGCUAACUCUGUGCCAGCAGCCGC
This 470-nucleotide ribosomal RNA is filed under the name uncultured soil bacterium. RNAcentral describes it as "bacterial SSU rRNA". It matches the Rfam family "Bacterial small subunit ribosomal RNA", at positions 26 to 518 of the family's 1533-position model. The record is from RNAcentral.